RNAcentral lists this ribosomal RNA (458 nucleotides) under uncultured bacterium. RNAcentral describes it as "SSU rRNA". It matches the Rfam family "Bacterial small subunit ribosomal RNA", at positions 26 to 523 of the family's 1533-position model. The record is from RNAcentral.
AGAACGAACGCUGGCGGCAUGCCUAACACAUGCAAGUCGAACGCGGGGAGCAAUCUCUGCGUGGCGCACGGGUGAGUAACGCGUGGGAACCUGCCCUCGAGUGGGGGAUAACCCGGCGAAAGCCGGGGUAAUACCGCAUACGUCCCGUCGCAAGACGGGAGAAAGAUUUAUCGCUCGAGGAGGGGCCCGCGUCGGAUUAGCUAGUUGGUGAGGUAACGGCUCACCAAGGCGAUGAUCCGUAGCUGGUCUGAGAGGAUGAUCAGCCACACUGGGACUGAGACACGGCCCAGACUCCUACGGGAGGCAGCAGUGGGGAAUAUUGGACAAUGGGCGCAAGCCUGAUCCAGCAAUGCCGCGUGAGUGAUGAAGGCCUUAGGGUUGUAAAGCUCUUUCGCACGCGACGAUGAUGACGGUAGCGUGAGAAGAAGCCCGCUAACUCGUGCCAGCAGCCGCGGUAA